GCGCCGGUGGUGCAAUGGCGUAGAGCAUUCCCGCCCGGUUAGAGGGAGGUGCGGGUUCGAGUCCCGCCUGGCGCU
Molecule: non-coding RNA, 75 nt
Organism: Heligmosomoides polygyrus
Lineage: Eukaryota; Metazoa; Nematoda; Chromadorea; Rhabditida; Heligmosomidae
Source: Rfam